Heterocephalus glaber (naked mole-rat) is the source of this 1674-nucleotide non-coding RNA. The record is from RefSeq and is a predicted model, not a curated record. Lineage: Eukaryota; Metazoa; Chordata; Mammalia; Rodentia; Bathyergidae.
ACACAGACUGCACUCUUAUAUGGCCUCAGGUUGAAGUGAAGAAUUCCAAGUCAAAAAAUGCCAAAUGUGAAAGCAUUCCUCCCAGACCACCUCAACUUCCAGCUGGAACUAAGAAGAGAGAAGGCAGAAGUGAAAGACAUUCAAAGAGAGAAACAGAAUCAGCAGCCUCCAGAAUGAGAAAAAAGGUAGAUGCAGAAAGAAUGAAGAAAUGCCAUACAGAAAAGAAAAAAAAACAGCUAGAAACUAGGGGGGAAAAGGUCAAGGAAACAAGCAGGUGACUUGGCUAAGAGGCUCUGAAAAAGGAAAGAGUGGACGUCCACUCAGAAGCAUGACAUCAACCAGCCUCUGAGGACAGACAGAGCUACUCCAAUCAGGUGGAGUGGUUACAACCCUAUGGGUUUGGUCAGCCCACAGAGCCAACCCAAAACACAACAGACGGUGAAACCCCUCACCUACACAAACACCUCACACAACAGCCCCAACCCUGGGCUACUCGGAGAGGCAGAAGCCUCUCGGAUAGAAGUCAGGACUAUGCCCACUCAUCAGGGAAGAGGGGUGUCCUCCCUUCCUCUGCCCCUCUUUGCUAGGCUAGUGCGUCCUCCCCAAGCCCCCACCCCUUCCCCACUCAAAACAUUUCAUCGAUCUGCCUGGCUGAAAGUGCUCUCGAUCAACUACGGAGCGCGAUUCAAACUUCACACAGCUGAAACAGCACAGAAAACCCGUAAGUGAUCCGAACCUAAAAAUAAUCAGAUGUUAACCAGCACUCCCUCUUUCCUUUCCACAGCAACAACCACAGGAUCGGACUCCUCCAACAGAAAUCCUCGGCGCCCUGCCUCCAAAGCCCCUAGCAGCGUCCAGGUGUCCCAGUGCCGGCCUGAAGUGCCAGACGUCCAGGGCCUUGGGUUCCCUCAGCUCAUCAUUUCCAAGCACUCAGAAGCUGAGGAGCAAUCGAGGGUCCCACCCAAUCCCACCGACGUCCAGGUACAGCCCAGAUCCUUCUCCCAGCUCUUAAAUUUUGAGGAAAACCAACAAAUACUAUGCUGACCACAGGAAACAUCCCCAUAAAGUUGAACUCACUCCAGGGCAUCCCAAGGUAAUUGCCCUUGAUGAAGAGCCCAUCAUGGAGAACCCAGGAGCACAAUCAGGGCUGGCCGGAGCUCCACACCGAGGCUCAUGCUCAUUCCGCCUUUGUUGACAGAGUACCUAGCAGGGCACAGAGGGGCACCAGGACAAUGCAGAGAAAAGGCUAGUACCUCCCUUCACAAACCAACCCAAACCAAAAGACACGGACCCAAGCCCAAGAACUAUGGCAGUGGACAGGCUGAAAAGAAACCAGAACUUCCUCGUUGGAAGGGCCCAUCCUGGCUGGAAGUGAACAGGAAGGACCUCAUGCCACCUCUGUGGUGCCUGCUCAUCACUUCCCUAGAGAAAGGGCCUGGCCAGGUGACUCUCCCCUCUUCUGGGACCCAGGGACAAGUGAGACAGGCUCAGAAAAUUGAGUCUGGGAGGGGCAGGAGAGAGCUUGCUUCAGGAAAUGACAGUCCCCUUGCUCACAGUCGGAGUACCAAUGAAUCUGUUGUCUUCCAGCAGCUGCUGCCUGCAUCUUUACUCUUCUCUCCGGACAGGACCUCAGCCAAAAGCUCCCACUGUUACCUUUAAAGUUUUAUUUAUUUA